This 501-nucleotide ribosomal RNA is filed under the name uncultured bacterium. RNAcentral describes it as "partial 16S ribosomal RNA". It matches the Rfam family "Bacterial small subunit ribosomal RNA", at positions 30 to 523 of the family's 1533-position model. The record is from RNAcentral.
AUUGAACGCUGGCGGCAGGCUUAACACAUGCAAGUCGAGCGGGGGAAGGUAGCUUGCUACCGGACCUAGCGGCGGACGGGUGAGUAAUGCUUAGGAAUCUGCCUAUUAGUGGGGGACAACAUCUCGAAAGGGAUGCUAAUACCGCAUACGUCCUACGGGAGAAAGCAGGGGAUCUUCGGACCUUGCGCUAAUAGAUGAGCCUAAGUCGGAUUAGCUAGUUGGUGGGGUAAAGGCCUACCAAGGCGACGAUCUGUAGCGGGUCUGAGAGGAUGAUCCGCCACACUGGGACUGGGACGGGGCCCAGACUCCUACGGGAGGCAGCAGUGGGGAAUAUUGGACAAUGGGGGGAACCCUGAUCCAGCCAUGCCGCGUGUGUGAAGAAGGCCUUAUGGUUGUAAAGCACUUUAAGCGAGGAGGAGGCUACUCUAGUUAAUACCUAGGGAUAGUGGACGUUACUCGCAGAAUAAGCACCGGCUAACUCUGUGCCAGCCGCCGCCGUAA